GCAAACUUGGUCAUUUAGAGGAAGUAAAAGUCGUAACAAGGUAACCGUAGGUGAACCUGCGGUUGGAUCAUUAACAAAAAGAAAAUAUUCUUUUAACCUCCAUGUGCACCAUCUAACGUAUUUUUGGGUAGCUUUUUUUAAAAGAAACUACCCAAAAGGUUAAACUUUUUAACUUGAAAAUUGUCUUUAAACUUUUUUUUUUUUAAUUAAAAAAACAACUUUUGACAACGGAUCUCUAGGCUCUCGCAUCGAUGAAGAACGCAGC
RNAcentral lists this unclassified non-coding RNA (265 nucleotides) under uncultured fungus. RNAcentral describes it as "partial contains small subunit ribosomal RNA, internal transcribed spacer 1, and 5.8S ribosomal RNA". The stretch from base 1 to 73 matches the Rfam family "Eukaryotic small subunit ribosomal RNA", at positions 1759 to 1831 of the family's 1831-position model. The record is from RNAcentral. Lineage: Eukaryota; Fungi.